This 292-nucleotide ribosomal RNA is filed under the name uncultured bacterium. RNAcentral's name for it is "partial 16S ribosomal RNA". It matches the Rfam family "Bacterial small subunit ribosomal RNA", at positions 505 to 796 of the family's 1533-position model. The record is from RNAcentral.
GUGUCAGCAGCCGCGGUAAUACGUAGGAGGCAAGCGUUGUCCGGACUGACUGGGCGUAAAGCGCGCGCAGGCGGUGCGGGGCGUCGGUGCUGAAAUCGGGCCGCUUAACGGCCCGCGGCGUGCCGAUACGCCCGUACUGGAGGGUGGGCGAGGGUGGUGGAAUUGCCGGUGUAGUGGUGAAAUGCGUAGAGAUCGGCAGGAACACCCGUGGCGAAAGCGGCCACCUAGCCCGCACCUGACGCUGAUGCGCGACAGCGUGGGGAGCGAACUGGAUUAGAUACCCUGGUAGUCC